RNAcentral lists this microRNA precursor (86 nucleotides) under Podarcis lilfordi (Lilford's wall lizard). The record is from RNAcentral. Lineage: Eukaryota; Metazoa; Chordata; Lepidosauria; Squamata; Lacertidae.
AGCUGUUUUGGGAUUACAACUCCCAUCAUCCCUGACCACUAGUCCUGUUAGCUAGGGAUGAUGGGAGUUGUAGUCCCAAAACAGCU